Molecule: ribosomal RNA, 465 nt
Filed under: Alexandrium margalefii
Lineage: Eukaryota; Dinophyceae; Gonyaulacales; Pyrocystaceae
Description: partial Bacterial large subunit ribosomal RNA
Rfam family: Bacterial large subunit ribosomal RNA
Source: RNAcentral
CUGUGAGGGGUCCUGGAGGUAUCGGAAGUGAGAAUGCUGACAUGAGUAGCGAUAAAGAGUGUGAGAAACACUCUCGCCGAAAGUCCAAGGGUUCCUGCGCAAUGCUAAUCAGCGCAGGGUAAGCCGGCCCCUAAGGCGAGGCCGAAAGGCGUAGUCGAUGGGAACCAGGUUAAUAUUCCUGGGCCAGCGGGUAGUGACGGAUUGCGGACGUUGUACACUCUUACUGGAUUGAGUGUGCAGCCAAGCCGUCCCUGGAAAUAGCUCCCGCAUGAGACCGUACCCCAAACCGACACAGGUGGACUGGUAGAGCAUACCAAGGCGCUUGAGAGAACUCUGUUGAAGGAACUCGGCAAAUUACUCCCGUAAGUUCGCGAGAAGGGAGCCUGGCAUUAGGCAACUGGUGUCCAGGGGCACAGACCAGGGGGUGGCGACUGUUUAUUAAAAACACAGGGCUCUGCGAAGUCG